CCGUGCUAGAUGGGGAGGUAGCGGUGCCCUGUAACCCGCAAUCCGCUAUAGCGGGGUUGAAUUCCUGUCCGAGGGCUUGGCUUGUGGGGUCCGGCUGUGAUAAGGGGUGUUGACGGUUGGGUCUUGCGCGACGGAGCUUCUCGAACCGUGUCAGAUCCUGACGGAAGCAGCACUAAGGGAAAUCCUCCGGGUGCCGCGAGGGUGCCUGACCCGAGCUACCUGCUACAGUAACGCCCGGAAGUCAUUGUUCAGAGACAGGUGCACGG
Molecule: non-coding RNA, 266 nt
Organism: Candidatus Desulforudis audaxviator MP104C
Lineage: Bacteria; Bacillati; Bacillota; Clostridia; Thermoanaerobacterales; Desulforudaceae
Rfam family: Bacterial large signal recognition particle RNA
About the family: The signal recognition particle (SRP) is a universally conserved ribonucleoprotein involved in the co-translational targeting of proteins to membranes.
Source: Rfam